RNAcentral lists this ribosomal RNA (395 nucleotides) under uncultured bacterium. Its description in RNAcentral is "bacterial SSU rRNA". It matches the Rfam family "Bacterial small subunit ribosomal RNA", at positions 505 to 898 of the family's 1533-position model. The record is from RNAcentral.
GUGCCAGCAGCCGCGGUAAUACGAAGGUCCCGAGCGUUGUUCGGAAUCACUGGGCGUAAAGGGAGCGUAGGCGGUGCGGUAAGUCAGAUGUGAAAUCCCGGGGCUCAACCCCGGAACUGCAUCCGAUACUGCCGUGCUAGAGGAUUGGAGAGGUAGCUGGAAUUCUUGGUGUAGCAGUGAAAUGCGUGGAUAUCAAGAGGAACACUCGUGGCGAAAGCGAGCUACUGGACAACUCCUGACGCUGAGGCUCGAAGGCCAGGGGAGCGAAAGGGAUUAGAUACCCCUGUAGUCCUGGCAGUAAACGGUGCACGCUUGGUGUGAGGGGAUUCGACCCCCCUUGUGCCGGAGCAAACGCGUUAAGCGUGCCGCCUGGGAAGUACGGUCGCAAGACUAAA